AAAUAUAUAGUAUAAUAAAUUACAUUUAAUUUCCAAUUAAAAAAUUUUUUUUUAUAAAAUAUAUUUA
RNAcentral lists this transfer RNA (67 nucleotides) under Bombus waltoni. Its description in RNAcentral is "tRNA-Gly". Lineage: Eukaryota; Metazoa; Arthropoda; Insecta; Hymenoptera; Apidae. The record is from RNAcentral.